CCUACGGGAGGCAGCAGUGGGGAAUAUUGGGCAAUGGGCGCAAGCCUGACCCAGCAACGCCGCGUGAAGGAAGAAGGCUUUCGGGUUGUAAACUUCUUUUCUCAGGGACGAAGAAAGUGACGGUACCUGCGGAAUAAGCCACGGCUAACGACGUGCCAGCAGCCGCGGUACUACGUAGGUGGCAAGCGUUAUGCGGAUUUACUGGGUGUAAAGGGCGUGUAGGCGGGGAAGCAAGUCAGAUGUGAAAACCACGGGCUCAACCUGUGGCCUGCAUUUGAAACUGGUUUUCUUGAGUACUGGAGAGGCAGACGGAAUUCCUGGUGUAGCGGUGAAAUGCGUAGAUAUUAGGAGGAACACCAGUGGCGAAGGCGGUCUGCUGGACAGCAACUGACGCUGAGGCGCGAAAGCGUGGGGAGCAAACAGGAUUAGAUACCCUUGUAGUC
This 443-nucleotide ribosomal RNA is filed under the name uncultured bacterium. RNAcentral's name for it is "partial 16S ribosomal RNA". It matches the Rfam family "Bacterial small subunit ribosomal RNA", at positions 338 to 795 of the family's 1533-position model. The record is from RNAcentral.